ACUCCUACGGGAGGCAGCAGUGAGGAAUAUUGGACAAUGGGCGCAAGCCUGAUCCAGCCAUGCCGCGUGAGCGAUGAAGGCCUUAGGGUUGUAAAGCUCUUUCGCUAGGGAAGAUAAUGACGGUACCUAGUAAAGAAACCCGGCUAACUCCGUGCCAGCAGCCGCGGUAAUACGGAGGGGUUAGCGUUGUUCGGAAUUACUGGGCGUAAAGCGCACGUAGGCGGACUAUUAAGUCAGAGGUGAAAUCCCGGGGCUCAACCCCGGAACUGCCUUUGAUACUGGUAGUCUAGAGGUCGAGAGAGGUGAGUGGAAUUCCAAGUGUAGAGGUGAAAUUCGUAGAUAUUUGGAGGAACACCAGUGGCGAAGGCGGCUCACUGGCUCGAUACUGACGCUGAGGUGCGAAAGUGUGGGGAGCAAACAGGAUUAGAUACCCUGGUAGGCUCUGC
Molecule: ribosomal RNA, 446 nt
Filed under: uncultured bacterium
Lineage: Bacteria
Description: bacterial SSU rRNA
Rfam family: Bacterial small subunit ribosomal RNA
Source: RNAcentral